UAGGGAAUCUUCGGCAAUGGGGGGCAACCCUGACCGAGCAACGCCGCGUGAGUGAAGAAGGUUUUCGGAUCGUAAAGCUCUGUUGUAAGAGAAGAACGUGUGUGAGAGUGGAAAGUUCACACAGUGACGGUAACUUACCAGAAAAGGGCGGCUAACUACGUGCCAG
This 166-nucleotide ribosomal RNA is filed under the name uncultured bacterium. Its description in RNAcentral is "partial 16S rRNA". It matches the Rfam family "Bacterial small subunit ribosomal RNA", at positions 355 to 511 of the family's 1533-position model. The record is from RNAcentral.